Molecule: ribosomal RNA, 468 nt
Filed under: uncultured bacterium
Lineage: Bacteria
Description: partial 16S ribosomal RNA
Rfam family: Bacterial small subunit ribosomal RNA
Source: RNAcentral
GACGAACGCUGGCGGCGUGCUUAACACAUGCAAGUCGAACGGAAAGGCCCUGCUUUUGUGGGGUGCUCGAGUGGCGAACGCGUGAGUAACACGCGAGUAACCUGUCCUUGACUUUGGGAUAACUUCAGGAAACUGGGGCUAAUACCGGAUAGGAGCUCCUGCUGCAUGGUGGGGGUUGGAAAGAUUCGGCGGUUGUGGAUGGUCUCGCUGCUUACCCGCUUGAUGGUGGGGUAGUGGCUUACCAAGGCUUUGACGGGUAGCCGGCCUGAGAGGGUGACCGGCCACAUUGGGCCUGAGGUACGGCCCAGACUCCUACGGGAGGCAACGGUGGGGAAUAUUGCACAGUGGGCGGGAGCCUGAUGCGGCAGCGCCGCGUGCGGGAUGACGGCCUUCGAGUUGUAAACAGCUUUCGACUGUGACGAAGCGUGAGUGACGGUAAUGGGUAAAGAAGCACCGGCUAACUACGUG